GUCGUACGAAAGUUUUAAACUUAAGUGGCGGACGGGUGAGUAACACGUGAGAAUUUACCUUUAGGAGGAGGAUAACAACUAGAAAUGGUUGCUAAUACUCCAUAUGCUUUAUUAGUGAAAUAGAAUUAUCUGCCUGAAGAGAAGCUCGCGCCUGAUUAGCUUGUUGGUAAGGUAAUAGCUUACCAAGGCGACGAUCAGUAUCUGGUUUGAGAGGAUGAUCAGACACACUGGAACUGAGACACGGUCCAGACUCCUACGGGAGGCAGCAGUGGGGAAUUUUCCGCAAUGGGCGAAAGCCUGACGGAGCAAUACCACGUGAGGGAAGAAUGCCUAUGGGUUGUAAACCUCUUUUUUCGGUGAGGAAUUAAUGACGUGUACCCGAAGAAUAAGCAUCGGCUAACUCCGUGCCAGCAGCCGCGGUAAGACGGAGGAUGCAAGUGUUAUCCGGAAUCACUGGGCGUAAAGCGUCUGUAGGUGGUUUAAUAAGUCAACUGUUAAAUCUUGAAGCUUAACUUCAAAACUGCAGUCGAAACUAUUAAACUAGAGUAUAGUAGAGGUAAAGGGAAUUUCCAGUGAAGCGGUGAAAUGCGUAGAGAUUGGAAAGAACACCGAUGGCGAAGGCACUUUACUGGGCUAGUUACUAACACUCAGAGACGAAAGCUAGGGUAGCAAAUGGGAUUAGAUACCCCAGUAGUCCUAGCUGUAAACGAUGGAUACUAGAUGUUGAACAGAUCGACCUGUGCAGUAUUAAAGCUAACGCGUUAAGUAUCCCGCCUGGGAAGUAUGCUCGCAAGAGUGAAACUCAAAGG
RNAcentral lists this ribosomal RNA (809 nucleotides) under uncultured cyanobacterium. RNAcentral describes it as "bacterial SSU rRNA". It matches the Rfam family "Bacterial small subunit ribosomal RNA", at positions 61 to 907 of the family's 1533-position model. The record is from RNAcentral. Lineage: Bacteria; Bacillati; Cyanobacteriota.